RNAcentral lists this long non-coding RNA (1953 nucleotides) under Pelobates cultripes (western spadefoot toad). The record is from RNAcentral. Lineage: Eukaryota; Metazoa; Chordata; Amphibia; Anura; Pelobatidae.
CUGGUAUAGGGGCAGUGAGGGCUGGAGUGUGGUGUACCAGGGAGGUCUGGUAUAAGGGCACUGAGGGUAGGAGUGUGGGGUGUCCGCGAGGUCUAGUAUAGGGGCAGUGAGGGCUGGAGUGUGGUGUACCAGGGAGGUCUGGUAUAGAGGCACUGAGGGCAGGAGUGUGGGGUGUCAGCGAGGUUUGGUAUAGAGGUACUGAGGGGUGGAGGGUGGUGUACCAGGGAGGUCUGGUAUAGGGGCAGUGAGGAUUUUGAAUAAAUUGGGUUAUAACUCCAUGCCAGGCAUUACAUGGACUAAUAUGGAGCUGGUCCCUCCCUGCACUUACACUACAGUAGCCUCGUUAAUGUAAUUAAUCUGGGCCUGGACUUGCAGGACUCCUUUUCCAGAGGAAGCAGACGUACUGUUACCCACGUCCAUCACACCUGCAGAGCUCAGGUUUCCCAUUUCUACUGCCAGACCUUUGGCCUCAUUUAAUGGCAGUCCCCAGGGUGUCGAAUGCCUAGCUAUGGGGGCCACGGGAUUUUAGGCUUCCCCGUUACUAUGUGUGGUGUGAUUAGGGACCCCGCUCUGGACCUCCGGUCUGCCCGCUGCUUUUCCAUUAUGUAUUCGUGGACAUCUGCCAUAAUCCUUUCCACGGUUUCUGUGGGAGGCGUACCUGGGAAAAAGGCCAGUCUGCUUUGGAGUUCUCUUCCAAACUCAUUCUGUGUGCUGUCCAUAAGAGGUGCUGCAGCAGCUGCCCGGUCUCCCUCCAUGAGUUCAGCAAUAAGGGUAGCUUUGGUUUUAUUGCUGGCAAUAAUUCCCCUUGCUUCCAAUAGUUCUUUUAGCGUGGCCCGUUUCAGGUUGGUAUAGUCUGUCCCCGUUCACUAUCCGUUCGGGUAUAUUCACAUACCCUUUCCUUUCGGUUCCAUACGAAAUAGCAAAUUUCCCAAAUGGCUGUAACUGCCGAACAAUGGUCUGCUGUGAGGUUUGAAUCCCGUCGCUGCCACCAAUUGUGACGGACCCGCUGGCACUCCGACCGAGUACCUCCGUCAAUCGAUGCUCCUAGUGCUUGCCGAGGACUUCAAGCACUCCAACCGACACCAUCAGCACUGCAGACUUAUCCCAUCCCCCAAGCAUGAGCCAAGGCUUCAAGAAAGGGUCAAGCAGGUCUGUUUAAUGAGCACACAAAGCAACAGCACUCACGCAGCAAAACAACCCCUCCACAGAGGAAAACAAACUGACAGUUAAAGACAGACAGCGUUUGGAAAUAUGACAGUUAUUAAGGGUUUUUAAGCUGGUGUUCUAGGAGGGAGGGGAAUAAAACAGUCAAACUAAGUCCAUAAAACAGGGUUUUUCUUCACACUCUGCAUCCGAAGUGCAUAGCAAAACUGCAGAUCCUUUGUCAGAGCAUUUAAAGGGCCAGAACCAGUCUAAUAAAAUCCACUAUGCUCAAAUAACAUACAGUUCAAAUACAGGCAAUAAUCAAUGCAAAAGUCUCUUGUGGCUGCUUCUGCCACAGUCUGGUAUAGAGGCACUGAGGGCUGGAGGGUGGUAUAACAGGGAGGUCUGGUAUAAGGGCACUAAGGUCAGGAGUGUGGGGUGUCCGCGAGGUCUGGUAUAGGGGCAGUGAGGGCUGGUGUGUGGUGUACCAGGGAGGUCUGGUAUAGAGGCACUGAGGGCAGGAGUGUGGGGUGUCAGCGAGGUCUGGUAUAGAGGCACUGAGGGCUGGAGGGUGGUGUACCAGGGAGGUCUGGUAUAAGGGCACUGAGGGAAGGAGUGUGGGGUGUCCGUGAGGUCUGGUAUAGGGGCAGUGAGGGCAGGAGUGUGGUGUACCAGGGAGGUCUGGUAUAGAGGCACCGAGGGCUGGAGGGUGGUGUACCAGGAAGGUCUGGUAUAAGGGCACUGAGGGCAGGAGUGUGGGGUGUCCGCGAGGUCUGGUAUAGGGGCAGUGAGGGCUGGAGUGUGGUGUAC